This 69-nucleotide transfer RNA is filed under the name Ictidomys tridecemlineatus (thirteen-lined ground squirrel). Its description in RNAcentral is "Spermophilus tridecemlineatus (thirteen-lined ground squirrel) tRNA". It matches the Rfam family "tRNA". From Rfam's summary of the family: Transfer RNA (tRNA) molecules are approximately 80 nucleotides in length. Their secondary structure includes four short double-helical elements and three loops (D, anti-codon, and T loops). Lineage: Eukaryota; Metazoa; Chordata; Mammalia; Rodentia; Sciuridae. The record is from Rfam by way of RNAcentral.
GGGGUUGUAGCUCAGUGGUGGAGCGCUUACCUCACAUGUGUGAGGCAUUGGGUUCAAUCCUCAACACCA